UGUAGAUAUUGAUCAGCAUGUUUCUUUCUUGAAGCAUUUUGGACCCUGGAUAUUGCUAAUAUGAGCCCUGCUUAUGCUUUUGACUAGACAGAGUACCAGCCGUAAAAAAAUGUCCUCUUUGCUAUCCGAUGCCCUUGAGUCAACUACGGGGCCGAGUUCAGGAAUCCAGCCUCUCAGCCAAGUCAUUUAGUCAGGAAUAUACAGACAGGGGGAUGUUGGUCAGGGCACAUGUUCCCCUGCGGUUUACAAGCCUCCGCACCCCAGUGAGGCAAAUGUGUGUACAUUUGAAUAUAUAUUUGAGGGGGACACAAUGGAAGAAGUUUGUGAGAGAUCUUUUAUAAUCAAAUUGUAUAGAAAUUUUUGAUCGACAUGCUUUGAAUAUAUGUUCUAUGCAUGUUUUUGUUGGAGAUUUUUUAAAUCAAUGUAGUUUUGAUAUUGGAUGGUUUGGAUUAUGUAGUUGGUUUUUUUAUUUGAUGAAUUAGAUAA
Long non-coding RNA from Daucus carota subsp. sativus, 486 nucleotides. RefSeq lists it as uncharacterized. The transcript has 3 exons. NCBI's taxonomy places the organism in Eukaryota, Viridiplantae, Streptophyta, Magnoliopsida, Apiales, Apiaceae. The record is from RefSeq and is a predicted model, not a curated record.